UACGUAGGGUGCAAGCGUUAAUCGGAAUUACUGGGCGUAAAGCGUGCGCAGGCGGUUGUGCAAGACAGAUGUGAAAUCCCCGGGCUUAACCUGGGAACUGCAUUUGUGACUGCACGGCUAGAGUGUGUCAGAGGGGGGUAGAAUUCCACGUGUGAGCAGUGAAAUGCAUAGAUAUGUGGAGGAAUACCGAUGGCGAAGGCAGCCCCCUGGGAUAACACUGACGCCUCAUGCACGAAAGCGUGGGGAGCAAACAGG
Molecule: ribosomal RNA, 255 nt
Filed under: uncultured bacterium
Lineage: Bacteria
Description: partial 16S ribosomal RNA
Rfam family: Bacterial small subunit ribosomal RNA
Source: RNAcentral